CAGCCGCCACGGGAAUACAGAGGGUGCAAGCGUUAAUCGGAAUUACUGGGCGUAAAGCGCGCGUAGGUGGUUUGUUAAGUUGGAUGUGAAAGCCCCGGGCUCAACCUGGGAACUGCAUCCAAAACUGGCAAGCUAGAGUACGGUAGAGGGUGGUGGAAUUUCCUGUGUAGCGGUGAAAUGCGUAGAUAUAGGAAGGAACACCAGUGGCGAAGGCGACCACCUGGACUGAUACUGACACUGAGGUGCGAAAGCGUGGGGAGCAAACAGGAUUAGAUACCCGUGUAGUCCCUGUCUCUUAUAC
This 301-nucleotide ribosomal RNA is filed under the name uncultured bacterium. RNAcentral describes it as "partial 16S ribosomal RNA". It matches the Rfam family "Bacterial small subunit ribosomal RNA", at positions 509 to 807 of the family's 1533-position model. The record is from RNAcentral.